This 344-nucleotide long non-coding RNA is filed under the name Vitis vinifera (wine grape). RNAcentral describes it as "long non-coding RNA (VVIN_LNC002173)". Lineage: Eukaryota; Viridiplantae; Streptophyta; Magnoliopsida; Vitales; Vitaceae. The record is from RNAcentral.
UUAGGGUUAGGGUUUUGCUUCUUGUUGGGUUCGCUGAGCAGUGGAGGCUUCUCUAGCCUACGGCUUCGGAGCUCGAGAUAAGAGGUGUCUGGCUUCGGCCCUUCCUGGUGAGUCGUUUUCUGGAGCCUCUGCAAAGCUAGGGUUUUGGCUCUGGUUCGAACGCCCAGAGAAGAUGACACCUCCAUGACUGUCACGUCGCCUGUGAUUUUAGCUUUCUUCAUGUACUUCCCCAUAUUCUUCUUCUGCUUCUUCUAGCAAAGCUUCAUGGGAUGUUUAGAAAGAGAAUAGAGGGGAGAAUUUAGAGAGAGAAAGAGAGGAGUUUCUCAGAGAGAGGGAGAGAGGGG